AACUGCUUAUUUUAAAGGACUAUUUUGAUAGAAUAGAUCAUGUAUGUAUAUUAUACUCUUA
RNAcentral lists this transfer RNA (61 nucleotides) under Chinavia ubica. Its description in RNAcentral is "tRNA-Ile". The record is from RNAcentral. Lineage: Eukaryota; Metazoa; Arthropoda; Insecta; Hemiptera; Pentatomidae.